GAUGAACGCUGGCGGCGUGCCUAAUACAUACAAGUCGAGCGAACGGACGAGAAGCUUGCUUCUCUGAUGUUAGCGGCGGACGGGUGAGUAACACGUGGAUAACCUACCUAUAAGACUGGGAUAACUUCGGGAAACCGUAGCUAAUACCGGAUAAUAUUUUGAACCGCAUGGUUCAAAAGUGAAAGACGGUCUUGCUGUCACUUAUAGAUGGAUCCGCGCUGCAUUAGCUAGUUGGUAAGGUAACGGCUUACCAAGGCAACGAUGCAUAGCCGACCUGAGAGGGUGAUCGGCCACACUGAACUGAGACACGGUCCAGACUCCUACGGGAGGCAGCAGUAGGGAAUCUUCCGCAAUGGGCGAAAGCCUGACGGAGCAACGCCGCGUGAGUGAUGAAGGUCUUCGGAUCGUAAAACUCUGUUAUUAGGGAAGAACAUAUGUGUAAGUAACUGUGCACAUCCUGACGGUACCUAAUCAGAAAGCCACGGCUAACUACGUG
RNAcentral lists this ribosomal RNA (496 nucleotides) under uncultured bacterium. Its description in RNAcentral is "partial 16S ribosomal RNA". It matches the Rfam family "Bacterial small subunit ribosomal RNA", at positions 28 to 507 of the family's 1533-position model. The record is from RNAcentral.